RNAcentral lists this long non-coding RNA (220 nucleotides) under Elaeis guineensis (African oil palm). RNAcentral's name for it is "long non-coding RNA (EGUI_LNC008339)". Lineage: Eukaryota; Viridiplantae; Streptophyta; Magnoliopsida; Arecales; Arecaceae. The record is from RNAcentral.
AUGAUGAGAUUGCCAGAGUAUUGCAAUAUAUGAACUUUACACAUUAUGAACUUAAAACCUGUUUGGAUGCAAUUUUAUAAGAGCAAUGAGAUCUGUCCAGCAGGAUUCUGUUUGAAAAAAUAGAAUGAACGUGAUGAUGUCAAAAGUGUUGGUUACUAAACCUAUUCAUGAGAAGUUGUGUCCAUUGAGAAGAGCUGUAUUAUAUCCAUCUGUAAUAUGA